GAUGAACGCUAGCUACAGGCUUAACACAUGCAAGUCGGGGGGUAACGUGAGGAAAGCUUGCUUUCCUUGUCGACGACCGGCGCACGGGUGAGUAACGCGUAUCCAACCUGCCCCCAACUAGGGAAUAACCUUGCGAAAGCAAGACUAAUACCCUAUAAUUUCCUCAGAUGUCAUCUGACGAGGAAUAAAGAUUUAUCGGUUGUGGAUGGGGAUGCGUCUGAUUAGCUUGUUGGCGGGGUAACGGCCCACCAAGGCAACGAUCAGUAGGGGUUCUGAGAGGAAGGUCCCCCACAUUGGAACUGAGACACGGUCCAAACUCCUACGGGAGGCAGCAGUGAGGAAUAUUGGUCAAUGGGCGGAAGCCUGAACCAGCCAAGUAGCGUGCAGGAUGACGGCCCUAUGGGUUGUAAACUGCUUUUAUACAGGAAUAAAGUUAGCCACAUGUGGUUAUUUGUAGGUACUGUAUGAAUAAGGACCGGCUAAUUCCGUGCCAGCAGCCGCCGUAA
Molecule: ribosomal RNA, 506 nt
Filed under: uncultured bacterium
Lineage: Bacteria
Description: partial 16S ribosomal RNA
Rfam family: Bacterial small subunit ribosomal RNA
Source: RNAcentral